UACAAAAAUUGUAUUUGGAAAUUAUGGAGAAAAAAGUGAUAAACAAUAGAAUUAAAUAGAGAGCAUAAUUCAAAAAAAUAACCAAAAUAGUAUCCCCAUAUUUUUUUGGGAAGUAUAAAUAGUAUCCCCUUAUUUCUUUUACAUAUAAUAACUAAAUUUUCUGUGAUUAUGUAACUAAAUUUUCUCUAGUUAUCAUUGAUUAAUGUAUUUCCUUAUCAAAUUUUUUAUUUAAGUGAUAUUGAUUUGGAAUUUGAACCACUCUUUAGUUUUGUGAACCACUCUUUUUUAAAAAUAAUGUUAGUGUCCAUGAUUCAAAAGUGUAUAGUGAGAUAUAUCUUCCUUCAAAGGUCAACGAAACAUCUAAAAGAUUCGCCAGACGAAGUGUUAUCAUCUUUGGUUCCACCGUCGUCCGUCGGUAUUGGAAGUCUUCUAACUACAGUUCUUGUUGAAGCUGAAGGCUUUGGUUCUGACUUCUGAUUAAAAGAAAAAAAAAAAAUCAUCAGCCAAGUCGAAACCUUCUUAAUUUUUACCUCCUUAGCUUAAGACAGAAACUCAGUUGGUCUUGAUGUUUUAAUCAACAACCUCAUAUUUUUUUUGAAAAUCAUCUUAGCGAUAAUUAAAUUAAAUAUGUCACUGCGUUUCUCUUUUUAA
Molecule: long non-coding RNA, 651 nt
Filed under: Capsella rubella
Lineage: Eukaryota; Viridiplantae; Streptophyta; Magnoliopsida; Brassicales; Brassicaceae
Description: long non-coding RNA (CRUB_LNC001129)
Source: RNAcentral